Molecule: long non-coding RNA, 224 nt
Filed under: Ananas comosus (pineapple)
Lineage: Eukaryota; Viridiplantae; Streptophyta; Magnoliopsida; Poales; Bromeliaceae
Description: long non-coding RNA (ACOM_LNC004564)
Source: RNAcentral
CCAAAUCGAUGAUCGAUACCGUUAAAUAUGAUUUAGACAGUAUAAACUAUGUAGAAAUCAAGUUUCCUACUUUUUAGAUAUUAUUAGCUAAAUGAUCAAAGGGUCACAAAAUUUAUAAUUUUAAUGACCGGUAUGGUACGUUUGCUAGUUUAGCGGUAUAAAAGAGUCCAAAUCAACUAAUUUUUUAUUAUUAUUUUUUAAACUAUUUAAAAUAAAAUUUAAAC